UACGGAGGGUGCAAGCGUUAUCCGGAUUCACUGGGUUUAAAGGGUGUGUAGGCGGGUCUGUAAGUCAGUGGUGAAAUCUCCGAGCUCAACUUGGAAACUGCCAUUGAUACUAUAGAUCUUGAAUUUUGUUGAGGUAGGCGGAAUAUGUCAUGUAGCGGUGAGAUGCAUAGAUAUGACAUAGAACACCGAUUGCGAAGGCAGCUUACUAAGCAAAUAUUGACGUUGAGGCACGAAAGCGUGGGGAUCAAACAGG
This 253-nucleotide ribosomal RNA is filed under the name uncultured bacterium. RNAcentral describes it as "partial 16S ribosomal RNA". It matches the Rfam family "Bacterial small subunit ribosomal RNA", at positions 524 to 776 of the family's 1533-position model. The record is from RNAcentral.